Long non-coding RNA from Arachis duranensis, 1265 nucleotides. RefSeq lists it as uncharacterized. Lineage: Eukaryota; Viridiplantae; Streptophyta; Magnoliopsida; Fabales; Fabaceae. The transcript is spliced from 3 exons. The record is from RefSeq and is a predicted model, not a curated record.
CAAAAACUUCUAUCAUUGUUUUGGAAUCCAGUUCCACUAUUCCCCUUCUAAAUCCUAACUCACAACGUUUUGAGACCAUAAUAAACUUCUCAUAGUUCCGCUUGAUAAGCACUACAUGUCCAUAAAUUUUUCAUGAAACCUGCUAUACAUAAUUCAUUCUCAUCUCUCACAACUCCAUCGCAUUCAGCUGGUCCAAGAUUACCCGCUGACGUCUCAUUUGAAUUCAUUUUACCAUUCUUGUGGAGGCCUAUUCCAUUUUAUGUUCACUUGAAAUAUGGUUAUGACUAUGUUUAAAAGGCUUUUUUUUUUGAAAGUUGUGUAAAUCUCCUCAACAUGGUUAGCUGUGAGCUAAUGUAGACUUGGGUGGUCUACUCAUUGUUGGAGUGAAUACUUCUGUAUUUUUCAUUUUCACAUCAACUAAUAUCCAAUCAUAAAGCUAUCCAUCCAAAGGUCAUUUGGUUUGUUGCUCAGUUCUAAGGUGAGGUUUCAUCUUAGUCAAGUGUUGAAGGGAGCUCUGAAGAAGUUAGAGAUGGAUUAAUCUUGUCCAGAUCUGCGAUGCUACUAGGCAACCACGAAGCGUAUGUAUAAAGGUUUCUUCUGUUCCAACAUAUCUAUAACAACUAGACCGGUCCAACCGUGAACUAGCAACAACAACGGUUCGGUUAACCAUUUGAAACUACUGAGCAAAAAAUCAGUGGCGAACCACUGAACCAGCUAGUUGGACCGGACCGAGAAUCAGACAGUUUGAAGGAAGCGAUGCCGUUUUGAAUCGCUGAAUGUCUGAAAUGAAUCAAAUCUCUCAAGCAUGCCUCUCACUCAAGCAGAAAAGACUUUCUUCUCCAAUCCUAGCAUCUCUUUGAUCUACUACUAUUGUCCGUCCGUGGAGCCACUGCUCUUUUUCGUCCGUCGAGCUACUAUCAACGUUCGUCCAUCAAGCCACUGCCCCCAAGUCUCUGACCCCUGCUUUCUUCUUUUGUGAGCUCAUCCCAUCCAUUGUCUUCAGUUGUUUGCCAUCGUUUGGUCGACAUCGUCUGUUGCGGUAAUUGGUCUUUGAAUCACCAAUUUGUUGGCGUUGUCUUCAGAGGUGUCCGUUACGGUGCCACGCUGGAAGGGGAAUAAAGUUCGAAGGACAAAUAAGUCCUUGACGUCAUUUUGCAAAUAAAGUUCAAAGGACAUAUAGGUCCUUGAGAAUGUAGUUCAUUAUACUUCUAUUAUGCUUUUAUUAUGAGAAUUUAGUUUAUAAAAUUAUGCUUGUAUUUUGAAAU